GUCUACGGCCAUACCACCCUGAACGUGCCUGGUCUCAUCUGAUCUCAGAAGCUAAGCAGGGUCGGGCCUGGUUAGCACUUGAAUGGGAGAAGCACCAGCCCAGAAAUGCCCUGGCAGGGCCGAUGGGG
Molecule: non-coding RNA, 128 nt
Organism: Sus scrofa (pig)
Lineage: Eukaryota; Metazoa; Chordata; Mammalia; Artiodactyla; Suidae
Source: Rfam